UGCGGUAAUUCCAGCUCCAAUAGCGUAUAUUAAAGUUGUUGUGGUUAAAAAGCUCGUAGUUGAACCUUGGGCCUGGCUGGCCGGUCCGCCUCACCGCGUGCACUGGUCCGGCCGGGCCUUUCCCUCUGUGGAACCCCAUACCCUUCACUGGGCGUGGCGGGGAAACAGGACAUUUACUUUGAAAAAAUUAGAGUGCUCCAGGCAGGCCUAUGCUCGAAUACAUUAGCAUGGAAUAAUAAAAUAGGACGCGCGGUUCUAUUUUGUUGGUUUAUAGGACCGCCGUAAUGAUUAAUAGGGACAGUCGGGGGCAUCAGUAUUCAAAUGUCAGAGG
Molecule: ribosomal RNA, 331 nt
Filed under: Sarocladium sp.
Lineage: Eukaryota; Fungi; Ascomycota; Sordariomycetes; Hypocreales; Sarocladiaceae
Description: SSU rRNA
Rfam family: Eukaryotic small subunit ribosomal RNA
Source: RNAcentral